AUUGAACGCUGGCGGCAGGCCUAACACAUGCAAGUCGAGCGGAUGAAGGGAGCUUGCUCCUGGAUUCAGCGGCGGACGGGUGAGUAAUGCCUAGGAAUCUGCCUGGUAGUGGGGGAUAACGUCCGGAAACGGGCGCUAAUACCGCAUACGUCCUGAGGGAGAAAGUGGGGGAUCUUCGGACCUCACGCUAUCAGAUGAGCCUAGGUGGGAUUAGCUAGUUGGUGGGGUAAAGGCCUACCAAGGCGACGAUCCGUAACUGGUCUGAGAGGAUGAUCAGUCACACUGGAACUGGGACACGGUCCAGACUCCUGCGGGAGGCAGCAGUGGGGAAUAUUGGACAAUGGGCGAAAGCCUGAUCCAGCCAUGCCGCGUGUGUGAAGAAGGUCUUCGGAUUGUAAAGCACUUUAAGUUGGGAGGAAAGGCAGUAAGUUAAUACCUUGCUGUUUUGACGGUACCAGCAGAAUAAGCACCGGCUAACUUCGUG
This 484-nucleotide ribosomal RNA is filed under the name uncultured bacterium. Its description in RNAcentral is "partial 16S ribosomal RNA". It matches the Rfam family "Bacterial small subunit ribosomal RNA", at positions 30 to 507 of the family's 1533-position model. The record is from RNAcentral.